GGGCAGGGGUGGGGCAAGCAAGGACCCUGAACCAAAGACCAUAGAGGUCCCUGGAACCUGGUGGAGGGAACGGGUGGGGUCUUGAUGUCAUAGCAGGAGUCAACAAUGGUCUUACCAGAAGUUGCCUUGCAAGUGCCUCUCUCCCAGGUUAAAACUAGUUGAUGGGUGGGGCACCCAAAUUGUCAUCAGCACCUCUACACUGGGGCAGCCCACACAUUGGGACAACUUGACAUAGCACUAAGAGCUCAAGCAACGUUCCCUGCAUGAAGAAAUCGUCCAAGGAACACGGCUUGCCCGUUUCCGCGCACUUUUCUUUCUUCGGACACAAAUGGGGUAUCGGUGCCUUUAAAAAAUAUACCACUUCUUGAUACGCCGCUCUUCCCUCCUCGCCGUGACAGAAGAGAAGCAAAGGGAGAAAACCCUUAAGCAAAAACUGCCGGUAAAGCAACCCCAUCGGACCCUGGAGGCCACUGCCUCUCUGCAGAGAGGAGCAGGGCGUACUUCAUUCUCCUAGCUCUGGGAACACCGCGGUUUCUGUCAAUUACUUUAUUGAUAUUUUCAGGUCACUUUAUUAGACUGCUCUUGACAGUGCCAGUGAGAAGAGGGCCACUGGUGGAAGGAAGGCAAAGGGAUGGAAGAACCAGGAUUUUGUUGUCCUACUGACUUUGAACAGUCUUGGCCUCUAAGAUAGGGUAGCCUGCGCAGGAGCGUGGCCUGAGGUCAGAGACAGUUCGUGUUUCCUGUGGUUUGCGAACUUGGCCAAGAGACUUUCUAAUCUAGGCUAGGCUCCCAUUGUAUGAAAGAGGGUAAGGUCAUUCAGUGAGAAAUCCUGUUUCUAGACAACACCCUUCUGAAUGAGAGACAGAGGGACAGAUUGGAAGCUGUUCAGGAAAUCACCAGUCACAGGCUCCAGGCCAAAGAGAUAGGCAAGGGCUAAAGCAAUGCCACUGGCAUAACUGAUCCCAACGCCAUAAAAAGCAAGGUGAGGACAGCCAUCAUACUUAGGUUCCAGUGAAAUGAAUGAUCUCAUUCCAUUCCACCAGCAUUCAUUAAUGUUCCUUAGUAAGCACCUAUCAUGAGCACCGGGGAAAUGAAGAUAAGGAUGCAGAAGCAUCCCUGCCUUCCAGGGGCUUACAUUCUAUUGGGACAAUCUACAACAAAUCCAUAAACGAGCAAAUCCAUAAUGGGUGAGAAAGGAGAAACUCUGAUGACUAAGUGGACCGGAAAGAAAUUUCCCUCUUUGUGUUUUUAAUUUAUUUUUAAUGGCAUUGUAUUUUUUCCAACUAUAUAUAAAGACUUCAUCUAUUUUUUUACAAGCAGUUAUUACAUCUUCCUCACAUUGCCGCCCUCCCCACAAACAGAAC
RNAcentral lists this long non-coding RNA (1364 nucleotides) under Phascolarctos cinereus (koala). RNAcentral describes it as "lncRNA (ENSPCIG00000034032.1)". The record is from RNAcentral. Lineage: Eukaryota; Metazoa; Chordata; Mammalia; Diprotodontia; Phascolarctidae.